Molecule: ribosomal RNA, 432 nt
Filed under: uncultured bacterium
Lineage: Bacteria
Description: partial 16S ribosomal RNA
Rfam family: Bacterial small subunit ribosomal RNA
Source: RNAcentral
ACGAACGCUGGCGGCAUGCCUAACCCAUGCAAGUCGAACGAGACCUUCGGGUCUAGUGGCGCACGGGUGCGUCACGCGUGGGAACCUGCCCUUAGGUUCGGAAUAACUCCCCGAAAGGGGUGCUAAUACCGGAUAAUGUCUUCGGACCAAAGAUUUAUCGCCUUUGGAUGGGCCCGCGUUGGAUUAGCUAGUUGGUAGGGUAAAAGCCUACCAAGGCGACGAUCCAUAGCUGGUCUGAGAGGAUGAUCAGCCACACUGGGACUGAGACACGGCCCAGACUCCUACGGGAGGCAGCAGUGGGGAAUAUUGGACAAUGGGCGAAAGCCUGAUCCAGCAAUGCCGCGUGAGUGAUGAAGGCCUUAGGGUUGUAAAGCUCUUUUACCCGGGAUGAUAAUGACAGUACCGGGAGAAUAAGCUCCGGCUAACUCCGUG